GACGAACGCUGGCGGCGUGCCUAAUACAUGCAAGUUGAGCGAUGAAGAUUGGUGCUUGCACCAAUUUGAAGAGCGGCGAACGGGUGAGUAACGCGUGGGGAAUCUGCCUUUGAGCGGGGGACAACAUUUGGAAACGAAUGCUAAUACCGCAUAACAUCUUUAAACAUAAGUUUUAAGUUUGAAAGAUGCAAUUGCAUCACUCAAUGAUGAUCCCGCGUUGUAUUAGCUAGUUGGUGAGGUAAAGGCUCACCAAGGCGAUGAUACAUAGCCGACCUGAGAGGGUGAUCGGCCACAUUGGGACUGAGACACGGCCCAAACUCCUACGGGAGGCAGCAGUAGGGAAUCUUCGGCAAUGGACGAAAGUCUGACCGAGCAACGCCGCGUGAGUGAAGAAGGUUUUCGGAUCGGAAAACUCUGUUGGUAGAGAAGAACGUUGGGGAGAGUGGAAAGCUCAUCAAGUGACGGUAACUACCCAGAAAGGGACGGCUAACUACGUG
This 497-nucleotide ribosomal RNA is filed under the name uncultured bacterium. RNAcentral's name for it is "partial 16S ribosomal RNA". It matches the Rfam family "Bacterial small subunit ribosomal RNA", at positions 28 to 507 of the family's 1533-position model. The record is from RNAcentral.